RNAcentral lists this ribosomal RNA (459 nucleotides) under uncultured bacterium. RNAcentral's name for it is "partial 16S ribosomal RNA". It matches the Rfam family "Bacterial small subunit ribosomal RNA", at positions 338 to 795 of the family's 1533-position model. The record is from RNAcentral.
CCUACGGGAGGCAGCAGUGAGGAAUAUUGGUCAAUGGGAGAGACCCUGAACCAGCCAAGCCGCGUGAGGGAAGACGGCACUAUGGGUUGUAAACCUCUUUUGUCGGGGAACAAAACCCGGGACGUGUCCCGGACUGCGUGUAUCCGAAGAAAAAGCAUCGGCAAACUCCGUGCCAGCAGCCGCGGUAAUACGGAGGAUGCGAGCGUUAUCCGAAUGUAUUGGGUUUAAAGGGUGCGUAGGCGGUCCGUUAAGUCAGCGGUAAAAGCGCGGGGCUCAACCCCGGCGAGCCGUUGAAACUGGGAGACUUGAGUUGGCGAGAGGUACGCGGAAUGCGCGGUGUAGCGGUGAAAUGCAUAGAUAUCGCGCAGAACUCCGAUUGCGAAGGCAGCGUACCGGCGCCAGACUGACGCUGAGGCACGAAAGCGUGGGGAUCGAACAGGAUUAGAUACCCUUGUAGUC